UUUGUAUCUAGUGGUAAAUUUACACAGUGUAAAGAUGAGCUAUACAAGAAAUCUAUGAAAGCUUGUUUUGGAUUACAACAAUGCCUAGCAUCAUCAAAUCCUAGUGUCUUAACUUUAAUUCACCUUUAUGACCAUACAAUUAAACCUAGUUUAAUGUAUGGCAGUGAAAUAUGGGAAUGUUUUCAACCACUUCAGUGGCAUGUAAGAAGAAUAAUGAUUAUAUUUUAGAAAAGGUUUAUU
Molecule: long non-coding RNA, 240 nt
Filed under: Mytilus galloprovincialis (Mediterranean mussel)
Lineage: Eukaryota; Metazoa; Mollusca; Bivalvia; Mytilida; Mytilidae
Source: RNAcentral